GGGGUGUAGCUCAGUGGUUGAGUACUUGUCUGGCACGCAUAAGGCCCUGCAUUCGAUCCCCAGCACCUAACA
RNAcentral lists this transfer RNA (72 nucleotides) under Marmota monax (woodchuck). RNAcentral describes it as "tRNA.Ala". The record is from RNAcentral. Lineage: Eukaryota; Metazoa; Chordata; Mammalia; Rodentia; Sciuridae.